GACGAACCGUACGAACGUUAUUCGGAAUCACUGGGCUUAAAGGGUGCGUAGGCUGUGCGGAAAGUUGGGUGUGAAAUACCUCAGCUUAACUGAGGAACUGCAUUCAAAACUGCCGUGCUAGAGGAAGAUAGAGGUGAGCGGAACUUAGGGUGGAGCGGUGAAAUGCGUUGAUAUCCUAAGGAACACCGGUGGCGAAAGCGGCUCACUGGAUCUUUUCUGACGCUGAGGCACGAAAGCUAGGGUAGCGAACGGG
This 253-nucleotide ribosomal RNA is filed under the name uncultured prokaryote. RNAcentral's name for it is "partial 16S ribosomal RNA". It matches the Rfam family "Bacterial small subunit ribosomal RNA", at positions 524 to 776 of the family's 1533-position model. The record is from RNAcentral.